UACGGAGGGAGCUAGCGUUGUUCGGAAUUACUGGGCGUAAAGCGCACGUAGGCGGCUUUGCAAGUUAGAGGUGAAAGCCCGGGGCCCAACUCCGGAAUUGCCUUUAAAACUGCAUCGCUAGAAUUGUGGAGAGGUAAGUGGAAUUCCGAGUGUAGAGGUGAAAUUCGUAGAUAUUCGGAAGAACACCAGUGGCGAAGGCGACUUACUGGACACAUAUUGACGCUGAGGUGCGAAAGCGUGGGGAGCAAACAGG
RNAcentral lists this ribosomal RNA (253 nucleotides) under uncultured bacterium. RNAcentral describes it as "partial 16S ribosomal RNA". It matches the Rfam family "Bacterial small subunit ribosomal RNA", at positions 524 to 776 of the family's 1533-position model. The record is from RNAcentral.